GUAACAGGGAUUGCUUGCAAUCCGCUGACGAGUGGCGCACGGGUGCGUAACGCGUAUGCAAUCUACCUAUAACAGAGAGAUAGCCCAGAGAAAUUUGGAUUAAUACCUCAUAACAUUGUUUUUUGGCAUCAUUAAACAAUUAAAACUUCGGUGGUUAUAGAUGAGCAUGCGUCCUAUUAGCUUGUUGGUAAGGUAAUGGCUUACCAAGGCAACGAUAGGUAGGGGGCCUGAAAGGGUGAUCCCCCACACUGGUACUGAGACACGGACCAGACUCCUACGGGAGGCAGCAGUGAGGAAUAUUGCGCAAUGGAGGAAACUCUGACGCAGCCAUGCCGCGUGCAGGAAGACGGCCCUACGGGUUGUAAACUGCUUUUAUAUAGGAAGAAACCCCGAUACGUGUAUCGGCUUGACGGUACUAUAUGAAUAAGGACCGGCUAACUCCGUGCCAGCAGCUGCGGUAAUACGGAGGGUCCAAGCGUUAUCCGGAUUUAUUAGGUUUAAAGGGUCCGCAGGCGGGAUAUUAAGUCAGUGGUGAAAGCCUACAGCUCAACUGUAGAACUGCCAUUGAUACUGAUAUUCUUGAGUGUGGUUGAAGUAGGCGGAACAUGUCAUGUAGCGGUGAAAUGCAUAGAUAUGACAUAGAACACCAAUUGCGAAGGCAGCUUACUAAGCCAUUACUGACGCUGAGGGACGAAAGCGUGGGGAGCGAACAGGAUUAGAUACCCUGGUAGUCCACGCCGUAAACGAUGACCACUCGUUGCUAGCGAUACACUGUUAGUGACCAAGCGAAAGUGUUAAGUGAUCCACCUGGGAAGUACGUUC
RNAcentral lists this ribosomal RNA (822 nucleotides) under uncultured marine bacterium. Its description in RNAcentral is "bacterial SSU rRNA". It matches the Rfam family "Bacterial small subunit ribosomal RNA", at positions 69 to 887 of the family's 1533-position model. The record is from RNAcentral.